This is a long non-coding RNA of Sapajus apella (tufted capuchin), 7830 nucleotides long. RefSeq lists it as uncharacterized. The transcript is spliced from 6 exons. NCBI's taxonomy places the organism in Eukaryota, Metazoa, Chordata, Mammalia, Primates, Cebidae. The record is from RefSeq and is a predicted model, not a curated record.
UUAGGUCAUUUUGAAGCCUAACUCGUUUGUUUUAAGAUUUUCAAAGAGCCAAACUGCACCAGUUUUUUCUCGUUAUCCUACUGUGGACUUCUCAACUCAUUUCAUACUGGAUUUGGCAAAAACACUCUCAGUUCAGCUGCUGUCUUCAAAUUGGAAUGCUGUGACAAGACACCUUGUUGCUUUUUCUGCUUUGUCCUGCACAGAGGCUGCUGUCAUGUGGGUCUUGUGAUUGUGAUGGUUAUUGGUUUGUCUUUUCAUCCACAGCAGAGCUCAAAAUGAGCACAGCUUCCCCACAGAGCGAUUGCUAUGAGCAAUGUAGCAGUUCAUCUGCUUCAAGAUCUUCUUCCCACUACCAGAGACUACUGUGAUACAAUGACUAGAACAUAAGACAGAAUAUCAGCAUUUGAGAGAUGGGGUUCCAAUGUUAAGAAGAGGGUAUCUGAAGUGGAGGCUAAGUUGUGAUUUGGCUGCAAACAAUAAGAAAAAUUCUGAGUAUUCUUAUCAGGAUCCUUUGUGUUGUGAAAAGCAGAGGAAUCUUGACUUUAUGGAGUGAAGACUUAAAGAAAUUAUCAAGAUGAUCUUCAUUUUCUCCUCAGUUUGACUGAACUUUGGACAGCUUUUCCUGAACACAGACUCCUUUGAUCUCUUUUCCAAGCAAUCUUUAGAAUGUCAAGUGGCCUCUCUUCAACCAGAAUGACAAGAGCUGAAGAAAUGUGUCAUCAUGAGGAUGACAUAAUCUAUGCAACAUACUGAGACUGGAAACCCAAAAUGAUGGUAACUGAGAGUGGUGCUAAGGCCCUAAGUUUUGGUCAUACUGUCACCUACCUGCCCAAAAGGGGGAAUUUUUACUACAAAAUUACAGGAGUCCAUUGUUUUGGACUGAGCUCAUAUGCUAGGCUCCAACAGACCAGACCAAACUAAAAUAGAGCUGCUCAUGUUAAAUGUGCCAUAAUCAAACUAAUACUUUAAGGUAACACAUAAGUCCUAGAACAGACAAGAAUUUACUUUCCUCCUGUAAACAGGAUACAUUGGCACAAGGAGGUACCCUCUACUGAGUCCUUGUUCUCACCUUGCAAAACCUGCUAUUGUACUUUUUCCCGGUAGGUUUUAAGACCAAUGGUGAUAGUGACAUCAGUGACUAAAGUUUUGGUCAAUCUCUCAAAGUGAAAAAAAAUUACCAAAAGGGGGAAAUUGUUAAAUGAAGUUUAACCUAAAGCCACCUUCUUGCAUAACUAAGGUUCAGCCUAAAGGCUUUCUGUACAUUGUGAACUAUAACAAGUGGAAGUGUAAGCAGACCAUAGCCUACACUUGUGCCAAUCACUAAGUUUUGAUCAAUCAAAAGUACCCAACUGUUCCAACUCUUCAAAUAAGGCAAAUGCCAAGCUGUAACCAACCCAGCUGUUUUUGUACCUUGCUCUCAUUUUCUAUAGGUCACUUUUCUUUUCCUGUCCAUAAAUCUUCCAUCAUGUGGCUGCACUGGAGUCUCUGAGCCUUCUCUGGCUCAGAUGGCUGCCUGAUUCAUUGAUCAUUCAUUGCUCAAUUAAACUCCUUUAAAUUUAGGCCAAAGUUUUUCUUUUAUCACUAUCAAUACUAUACUCUGGAGAUAAAAACAAGAUAAUAUUAAAAUCCAGAUUUGACAACAAUUUUAAGUAGAAACUCCUUUUUAAACAGGACAUAGUGUUUAAAGCAGUAUGUUCUUUACUCCGGAUGUUAAGUAACCUUUUCUCUUAAAAGUGUCUCUUUUGGAGAAAUUUAAUGUCUGAUUUUUUUUUUUCUGAGAUUGAGGUACAUUAAUUCAAAAACUCUUAAUCUAGCCUGAAGUAAACAAAAUAAAUAGCUAGGAACAGAAGAUGUAUGCUGUUUGUUAAACUAUAUAAACUCAUGUGUAUCACAAUAUGAUGUUUCACUAACAAAUAAUGAAACUGUGCUUAUCACAUAUAUAUAUAUAUAUAUAUAUAUAUAUAUAUAUAUAUAUAUACACACACAUACAUAUACAUAUUUCAGCAGACAAAAAUAAAUUUCCCAAAUAGAAUAAGCUGCUUGGUUUGGAGCAUUGUUGCUAUUUAUGCUGCAAAAUUGCUUCUUCUCAAAAUUAUAAUUGUGAAAUUUCCUAAACGAUGUACUAUAUUAUUACCUUUUAUAAUAGUUUAAAAAUAAGGUUCCUCAAUGGUACAACUUCUCUGAAACAAAUAAAUUUGGCCUCUAUAAUAGUCUUUGGAGAGGUUCUACAUUCUAUAUUGCAAAAAUUCAAAGAUCAGCUGCUAACAUAAAUAAAUUCUGUAAAUCAUUCAGAAAACUUUUGCUAGUAGGAUUAACAGAAGACUAGAAAUAUGUAUUUCAGGAUAUGCAAAGAUUAGACCAAACUCUCAGUCUCAGGAAGGUGACAGUAAAACUCUGCUCACAGUUAGAAGUUUAAAGACUACUAAUCCUGAUAUGUGAGGUGUCAUCCUAGUGAAUGAAAAGUUCCAGACUGAAAGGACAAAGCCCAAUAAAUAACUUAGCACUUCACAUGAAGGGGCAUCAGAUGUUAGCAAAAUUAUUGAUCUUUACAGAGUUGGGUGGGUAGAGACAAAUAGAAUACCUCGAGGGAAGUGACUGUGUUGUGUUUUAAGGAAAGAGAAGAAAGAAUGUGUCAUAGAUAGAAAAAGGCAUGUGUAUAUAUUGCACUGUGCAUGAAAGGGAAGCUUGGAUGUGCUGUGGGAUCAUGUGUUUUAAUAAGACAAGUUGGGUGAGCUUGUCUGUGAGGAUGUCUGUGCACAUCAAAGAGGAAGACUGGAAGCAUCAGUGGCUAGAAUUUUAAUAAAAUAAUAAUAAAAUAAAAUCACCAGAUCAUUAGCUGAGUUUGCCUGCUGGCUACAGAGUAGGUAGCUUCUAUUUCAUUGGAACUGAUUUUGGGAAAUCAAAGGUUUUCAACUAAUACUGUUGUAUUUAAAUGUGUGCCCUUAUGUUUCCUUUAUAAACACCCAUUCAAAUUACAAACAAAAGCUAAUUAAUGAAUAUUCUAAGGUAUCCAGAAUUUAAAAAAGUGUAUUCUACAACUAAUAGAAAGUAAAUGGCACAGAUGAUUAGCCCAUCAAUCUUGGAACUUACUCCAAAUAAUGUGUAAAUUUGAAACUAUUAAAAUGCUUGUGUUAGAAGCAGAUUGUAUUUAUACAAAUAAAGAAGAUUCUGGAAAUUCAGUUAAGUUGCCUCAAAUAUAAAUAUAUAUUUUUCAAACUGUAACUAUAAUAAAAUUCUGGUUAAUAGGAUGAACUGACCUGAUGUAGAAGGACAACCCUACUCAUCACAUGUAUAUAUACACACACCCCCCACCAUGUACAUAUAUGUCAGGUAUGAUGUAAUCCUUUUAAAUUCCACAGUUGCCUUUUCAAAUAAAAAAGGUUGAACAAUUUUCAGAAACUGAAACAAAAAAAGUAGAAUAUUUGUUGAAUGUGAGCCAAAGUAGCAAACAUACAAGGCUAUAAGAACCAGUAAAAUCUCUUAGAGAUAGAGGUUUUAAUGAUCAAACAGAAAGAAUGAAUAAUGCCUUGUACAAUAUUGGAAACAGAUACAAUCCCUGGAUAAGUCAGGGCUCUACUGAUUACCUCAUCUUGGAAGAGCAACCAGAGCAACUGUGCCUACAGGUGUUGGGAAGCUGUAGAAGGGUAGCUAUCUAAGCAGGGCUAGACAAGGAAGAAAUGCUAUCAAGGAGGUUUCUGAACCUCAAGCUUGACUCAUUUUGCUGAAGGGCCUAACUAAUACAAUGCUAGCCCUACGGUCCUGAAACACUGAACCAAGAAAUUGAUAUAAAGCUGGUUCUGAACAGUUGAAAUUCAGAGGGCUCUCACAAAAGCAGCUUGAAAUAUAGCCUAGAUUUGGGGAAUGCUUAUAGAAAGUAAUUCUCACUGAAAAUGAAUUUACAAUCAGAAGUUAUAAAAUACAUAAGAUUAAAACUAGAGAACUGACAUGCUAUGAGCAUGAAACAGAGAAAAAUAUGAAAUAAUUUCUUGAAAAAUUCAAUGAGAUUUAAAAUAAUUCUGGCAAUCUGGUACGCUCAGUGUCUGGAUAAACUAUUCCUGGACAGAACAUCUAACAAUCUGGAUAGUGUAUUUAAUGUGUCUUUUUAAAUGUAUAAUUGAACUGAUAGGAAGUAAGACACAAACUUCAGAGGUCAAGAAAUGAUGACAAAUAUAACCUGAAAAGUUGAGAAAGGACUGAAACUGACAUUCACUCAUCUGCUCAUCCAUGGUAAUGUGGAGUUUUUGUUUUCAUAUUAAAUAACUAAAUCACAUUAUUUAAGUACAAGAAGACUGACUUUUUGAUGUCACAAUAAAUACUAUAUAAUAAAAGAAAAGACAAACCUCUUAAUUUUACCUUGGUGAAGAAGCAGCAGAUUUUGAACCUGUUGAGGGAGAUUUUACAGAUUUGAGGUUCAGUUCUGCCACUUAAAAAUAGUCAAAGCAUAACAUACAUUUAGGGUAUGGUUUAAGUGAAUGCUUACAUAUCUAUACCUGCUACUCACAUUAAUACUAUUUUAGAGCACAUCAAGAUGGCUGUUACAUAUAUACCCACUAUUCAAUAACCAACCAGGAAAACUGUUAUCAUGACUUGUAUCAUCCUAUAUUUACAUUUCCUGUUAUUUCACUUUGUAAAAAUGAAAUCUUUUGUAUCUGACUUCAGUUAACACAAUGUCUGUGAGAUGCACCCACAUUAGGUGUAGCAGUACUUUACUCUUUUUGCUGUAAAAUAUUUCACUAUAUGAUUAUACCACAAUUUGUUUAUAAUAUCUGCUCUUUAAGUGUAUUUGGGUUGCUGCCACUUUUUGACAAUUAAAAACAGGGCUGCUGUAAAAAUUCUUGCACAUGUAGCUCAGUGAAUGCGUUUACACAUUCUAUUAGUUAUAUGCCUAAGAAUUAAAUAGACAUGUCAUAGGGUAUAAUAUAUUAAGCUUUAGCAGACACUGAUAAAUAGUAUUUCAAAAUCAUUUCUUCUCAUAAGCAGUGUAUGGAGUUCCAGUUUCUCCACACCUUGGCCAAUAUUUGAUAAUGUAAGGCUCUUUAAUUUUGCCACCCUAGUGGGUAUGAAGUACAUUGUGCAUUGUGGUUUUAAGUUUUCCUAAUGAAGGAUACAGUAUAACACAUUUCAAAUGCUUAUUGACCAUUUGUGUAUUCUCUUUUGGGAACAACCUUAUUAAAAUGUUUUAAGUGGUUUUUCUUUUUUCCUCCUUAGUGUCUGAAAUUUACUGAUUGCAUUGUAGAAGGAAAUUACAUAUUUUGGAUACAAAUUUUUUUGGUUUCAUGUAUAUACAUUUCUUCCACUCAUGAAUGGCAUUUUUACAUUCUUCAUGGAAUCUUUUGAUAAACAGAAGUGUUUUAUUCUAAUGAAGUUAUACUUAUUAAUAUUUUCUUUAUAGUUAGGACUUUCUUUACCUAUUUAAGAAAAAGUUUAUGGUGUAACAAGAUAAACUGAAUAAGCUACAAAACUAUGAUGCUUUAUUUUUUUAAACCCAUCAGAGAACUUAUGAUGAAUAGAAAUCUAGGUGAAUUAUAUUUCAAUGAGGCAGGAGCCUGUCCUUGGAGAGAAGAACCCACAAUUGCUUUUGUUUUUCCACAUACAGUGAAAAGAGAGUGAACCUGUCAUAGAAUAGCAUAAGAAAAACCCAGAAUAACUUUUAAAGAAUUGUAAUGGCUGCGUAUGCUCUGGUGUGACUACCAGUUUUUCAAGGAAUCUCAGUAUCUGCCUUUCCUCCAGUUGUUUCACACAAAGCCUUCGCUGAGUGCAUUUUAGUAAUGCAUUUUAUAAUGUGGAAAGAACAAUGUGACUGACAGAGUACUCCUCAGAAGCAUGGGACCUUCAGUUACUCAGCCGCCUAAAAACAGAACAUAGGAAAUGAAAAAGUAUUCUCUCAGGUACACAAGGUUAGUUGGUACAUGGAAGUAGUGACCUCAAGAUUGGAGGCAGGGCAAGAGGGUUGGAGAAAAUCCUCUAGGUGACAAAGCCUUCACUGAGCAUGUUGUCACCACACUGCUGCUGAAGGACAGGGGCAGGUAAAAGGGUUCUGAAAGAUUCCCUGAAGGUACAGAAGAGUUUCACCAAAUGCAUACAAAUGCAUGGAGGCUGGUAGGAGGGUAGGGCAGUGGAGAGAAAGUUCCACAUUGCACAGCAGAUCUUUAUUUAGUUCAAAGUAGCGGCUCUCUGUGGGCUAGGAUUAAUGCAGUAGGGUGGAGAAAGACCCCUCAAAGGUGAAAAGCCAAGGGCAGGGCUCAAAAGAAAAGAGAACUUCAUAGUCAUUUGGAAGUCUGGAUAUCAGACUAUAAGGCAGAAGUAGAUCUCCCACAGUUCAGAAAUUUACUUACUGAACUGUAAAACAAAGAGAUUUCUAGAGUGUGACCAAGACUCAGAUCCCAAGCCAUUCUGAAAUAAAUAUUCUUAUCUCAAAGUCAAAAAUUUUAAACAAGUGGUAAAAUGAGAGUCCUGUCAGACAUGCAUGUAACUAGAUCUGCAACAGAGCCUGAAACCAACUUAACCAUAAAUUAUAUUGAUUCUUUCCACCACCCUCAUAGCAACCUGAUAGCUGAAGAAAUAUUUCCUUUUUGGGUGCAAAUGUUAUUUAUUUUAAUACUUAUAUUUCUUAAACAUGUAAUGUUAAUAUGUGGUAAAAAAUAUAAGAUAUGUAGUGAAGCAAGAGCUUAUGAACCAUAAGCAAUAGGGGUAAAACAGUCAAUCGUAGCUGACCCAUAUUUAUCUCAUUUAUUAGAAUUAGAAAACCUAGACUUUAAAAUAACUAUCGUUAAUAUGUUAAAUUGAUCUAGUAGAAAGGUAGACAAAAAUGCAUGAACAAACUGGGAAUUUUAACAGAAAAACAAAGUAAGAAAAUAAUCAAAAUAACAUAACAGAAAAAGAGUAUUAACAAUGAAAAACGUAUUUUAUGGACUUAACAAUGAAUCAAACACAGUGAGGGAACGUGAACACAGGUCAAAACUAAAGCUUAAGGAGAAAAUAUCUAUAUCUAUAUCUAUAUCUAUAUCUAUAUCUAUAUCUAUAAUCAUCCAUCUGUCUACAUAAUCAAAUGUUCUAGGUAGAUAACAAUAUGAGUUAGUAUCAAAUAUUCUAACAUAUUUGUAACUAAAUUUCUAGAAAUAGGUAAAGAAAAGGAGGAGUGGGAAGAAAUUUUUGAACAGAUAGUGGCUGGAAAUUUUUCAGAAUUAAUGAAAGAUGGAAAUCCACAGGUGUAAGGAGCUUAGUAAACUGCAAGCAAGGUUAAACACAUAAACAUGCGCGUGCACACACACACACACACACACACCCCUAAACGCCUCAUAAUAACCAAACAUCUGCAAACUAAAGAUAUUCUUAGGUAAACCUACCUAGCUAGCUUGUGUACUCAUGUGGUCUUAAAACUAAACUUUGACCUGGAUGGCCCUGUUGAGGAGGGUAUCGACCAGGGAGAUUACCCUCUAAUGGUUGUUUGCUUUGGGCAUGGGAAUCUGUCUUUUAAUCUUCAACCUCUAGUGGUUUGACUCAGGCCUUUGUCAAUUAAACUUUACUAAAUAAAUGCCAGUCUCACUGGCUGGUGGUGGCCUAUAGUCACAACUGUUUACAACACUCUCCAGGGUGCCUGUAAGCCAUGCUGACACACUCAGUCAAACUGGUAAAGCAUAAUAUCUGUGUGUCAAUGUAUUUUAUUUAUCUGUUGCUGAGUCAAGGUCUACAAGACAGACACCCAUAGAUGGUGACCCCAUCAGUGGUGCCCAACAUGGGGUGAUCCCAACAAUAAAAUAUGGCUGACAAUGAAGGCUGGAAGAUAGGUAGCAUCUUUAAAGUCACCUUAAAGUCACUCAAAAAAAAAAA